Molecule: transfer RNA, 73 nt
Filed under: Stegodyphus mimosarum
Lineage: Eukaryota; Metazoa; Arthropoda; Arachnida; Araneae; Eresidae
Rfam family: tRNA
About the family: Transfer RNA (tRNA) molecules are approximately 80 nucleotides in length. Their secondary structure includes four short double-helical elements and three loops (D, anti-codon, and T loops).
Source: Rfam by way of RNAcentral
GCCUUCGUGGUGUAGUGGUCAGCACGCUCGACGCCUAACCGAGAGGACCGUGGUUCGAUUCCCGGAGAAGGCG